GAAAGGUACAAAUCAAUUUAAACCUUUAACGAUGAUACAAACCUACUUGCUCAAUUCAUUACAAUAUUUGUCCUUUCAGAGAAAGAUUAAAAGAAGCAGGUAUGAUUCCACAGGAAGGAAAAAAAUCAACAUAUGUGCUGGUUUAACUGUAGGAAUUCCAAAAUACACUAAGCAAACAGCGAAAUGUAAGUCUUAUAAUAUGAAGACCUUAUAUUAUUAAAUGAAGAGCACUUUCUAUUCACCUGAAUAUAUUUUUAGAGAAAAUUUCAGUGCUUAGAAAAUUGCUACAACUCCCUGUACCCUGCACCCCCCCCACCCUGCCACACACACACACACACAAUCCAAAUGACAAGUUCACAUGUUGAUUUUUAAAAUUUAUUUAUAUAAUUAUAACAUUUCACAUGAAAGUUUUAAGUUGACUAUGUGGCCAAAGACUUGAGUUCUUUUUCUCAGAAUAAGUGUACUUAAGGAUGCUUUUCUGUCCACUUCCCACAGUGGUACUUCCAUCCACCUCAGAGGAGGGCUGAGGAACAUCAUACAUGCCAGUAGUUACCACUGCUGGAACAGACCUCACAGGGCACAAACACUGCACUUGUAACUAUCCUUCAGCAUAUCCACAGUGAGACUGGGAGCAGGUAAAGAGGACUCAGUAUUGCAAAGCAGGUAAGUUGGGGAUGAUGAUGCCCACUACCAAUGGAGAACCACCUUACAAAAAGGAAUCACUAACAUACAUCAAAAUUUCAGAGUCACACACAGGAACUACGUGAGAGGUACAUGGGCUAUAGACGAAGCUGACUGCUGAUUAAGAGAAACCUUAUUUAAAUCACAAUCAGAAGUGUAGAAACACAUUGAUGACGUUAUGACAUAUUAAUGGGAGUAUUCAAAUUACACAAAUUGUAUAUAAAAAGCCUUUUUGGAACAUACUGUAUGCAGAUCAGCUGUGUUAUCUUCAAAGGCCACUGUCUUUUUACAGUAUCACUAUAUUUUUGUAGUACCCCUUGCCCAUUACAAUGACACAUAGCCAGCAAUUAUCUCCAGAGUUUCAGAAAGGAAACCUUCCCUAAGUAACAUUUUCACACAUCAUUGUUAUCUCCCCACAAAAAGAACACUUCCAUUCACAUAGUAAAAAAAGGGAGUUUUGACUGAAGAGGCUUACACGUGGAAUAGUCAGAUAUCCUUGUUUAGCUUGAUUGUCCUUAUUUAUUUUUGCUUCCCAAUAUAAUUAACAGUGCAGUGCCCCCCCCUACUAAAAAUGUGUAACAAUAAAUUAUAUGCAACUUUAUCUAAAUGACUAUUAUCUGUUAUGAAACAUUCUUUGACUGUGAGGCUGGCAAAAUUAGUGCCAUGAUUUUCUCAUAAGACAUGAGUGGUCAAACCAUUUAAAAAUUGCCCCACCUUUUCCCUGGUAGAGAAGUUAUGAAUUUGGUAAUGUAAACAAAACAAGUGGUCACAAUAAUGAAAGAAUAGCUCUGUUCCUCUAUUUUUUUUUUCUUUCUCCACAUUCUUUUGAAUAUGCUAUUCAAACAGCUUGUUGCCAGGACCGUUUUGGG
Molecule: long non-coding RNA, 1550 nt
Filed under: Marmota monax (woodchuck)
Lineage: Eukaryota; Metazoa; Chordata; Mammalia; Rodentia; Sciuridae
Source: RNAcentral